CCUACGGGAGGCAGCAGUGGGGAAUAUUGCACAAUGGGGGAAACCCUGAUGCAGCGACGCCGCGUGAGUGAAGAAGUAUUUCGGUACGUAAAGCUCUAUCAGCAGGGAAGAAAAUGACGGUACCUGACUAAGAAGCCCCGGCUAACUACGUGCCAGCAGCCGCGGUAAUACGUAGGGGGCAAGCGUUAUCCGGAUUUACUGGGUGUAAAGGGAGCGUAGACGGCAGCGCAAGUCUGGAGUGAAAUCCCAUGGCUUAACCAUGGAACUGCUUUGGAAACUGUGCAGCUAGAGUGCAGGAGAGGUAAGCGGAAUUCCUAGUGUAGCGGUGAAAUGCGUAGAUAUUAGGAGGAACACCAGUGGCGAAGGCGGCUUACUGGACUGUAGCUGACGUUGAGGCUCGAAAGCGUGGGGAGCAAACAGGAUUAGAUACCCCAGUAGUC
This 440-nucleotide ribosomal RNA is filed under the name uncultured bacterium. RNAcentral's name for it is "partial 16S ribosomal RNA". It matches the Rfam family "Bacterial small subunit ribosomal RNA", at positions 338 to 795 of the family's 1533-position model. The record is from RNAcentral.